UGGCCCUAGAGAAGGGAGCAGGGAGUCAAGAGAAUGCACAGAGGAGUCAUGUGGGGAGAAGGGCCAAGAGGACACAGAGAGGGACCUGGGCACAGGGCCCGUGAGUGGCCCCCACUGAGCAGGACCCCAAGACUGGCUGCUGGAGGCCUGAAGCAGAGCAGUAGGCACCCGGGCCCCACAGGUUUCAAGGAUGAUGGUGAUGGGAGAGACACCUGGCCACGUGUCUGUCUGUCACUCACCUUCUCUCCUUUGGCUCCAGCAUCGCCCCGGAGACCAGGCAGCCCUGGGGGUCCCUGUGGAGAGAUGGGAAGUCACUCGUUCAAGCCCAGCCCUUCCCUGCUGUGACUCACCACUGAGCCUGGGAGGCCUCUCAGACCAUCAGGACCAGGUUUCCCUGCUGGGCCUGCAGGACCCACCAGGCCUGUCUUCCCUGGGGCACCUACAGCACCGGGAUCCCCCUGAAACACAAAAGGCGAGCCAGCAGGACCCUGCAGAUGGAGUGGAAAGGAAGAGCACAUGAGGCUGUGGGCAGCCAGGCUCAACUCUUCCACCUUCCUGUCCUAGACACACACACGCACACACAUGUGCAUACAUAGGCACACACAGAGGACUGAUUCACAGACGUGCAGAACAGAUCCAGCUGUGACAGUUGUGAAAAUACUGGGUAGUCUGUACCUGUGGUGAAGAGCCACUUGCCCACACCCUACCUUGUGGCCCAUCUCCUGCCCCAGCAAGUAAACAGGUUCACCCCUGGCCCACAGACAUGCUGGCCAGCACCCUCCUCCAGUUUCCAUUCUGCUUGUCAAUAACCAUCAAUACCCCUGGAGAGGACAUGCACACCAGAACCCAGGAACAAACAUGCCCAAGGUACUGCACACUCACCAACCCACCAGCUCCUGCACACACACCACACCCAGGGCCACGCAAACACCAGGCAUCUCCCCACCCAGUCCACCUUCCAUUGCCCAGCCUCCAUCCACACAGCCCAGGCACUGCCUCCGAGGUCUCAGGGAUCCACCUCACUUACCCGCUUUCCAAGUGGCCCAGGGGGUCCAUUCUCUCCAGUGGGACCAGGGGAUCCCUAGGGAGAGAGGAAUUGGGGUAGCUGAGUGUUUAGCCUCCAACCAAGGGAUUCCUCAGGAGUGGGGCACAGAAGGGGAUGAAGCUUGGGCUUGGGGGGUGGUGGGGUCACUGGUCACUCACAGGCUGUCCUGGCUCACCAUCCUCGCCUCGAUCACCCUUAGCACCAUCCUGGCCCUGCAGGGGUGAGGCAAGGUCAAAGGUAGGCCCCCAACCUGGCUGGCAUCACCUCCAAAACUGUCAAUCCUCCCAUCCCUGGUGUGUGCCUGUAAUCCCAGCUACUCGGGAGGCUGAGGCAGAAUCAGUUGAAUCCUGGAGGCAGAGGUUGUAACAAGCCAGAUCGUGCCACUGCACUCCAGCCUGGGUAACAGUGCAAGACUCCAUCUCAGAAAAAAAAAAAAAUGCCUUCAUCCCCUUGCCCACCCUGCCAUACCUCCAACUUUCUAACACUCAAGCCCAGUGCCCAUACAGAGGCCCCCAUAGAAGCCCCACCCUUUUUGCCCCUUCUCUUGAGUAACACUCACCCGAGGACCACUUUCUCCAGGAGGGCCAGGGUCACCAGGAAAACCAACGGGACCCUGAUUCAGAGGGAGAACAAGAGUCAGGGUCACAGCUCCCUUAGCCCAGCACAGACUCCCACGGGCACAGGAGGAGGUCUCCUGCAGCCCUUUUCCACCUCAUGUACUGC
Molecule: non-coding RNA, 1768 nt
Organism: Callithrix jacchus (white-tufted-ear marmoset)
Lineage: Eukaryota; Metazoa; Chordata; Mammalia; Primates; Cebidae
Source: RefSeq, a predicted model, not a curated record